GAUACUAAGUUAAAAUUCUGCCCAGUGUAGUAGGAACUUAAUCACUCUAUAGUUCAGGUACCUGAUUGACUAGAAUUUCAUGCAAAAGAGAAUCCAAAGGCAGCAAAGAACGGUAAAGAAAAAUAUAAAUGGUAAAGCUCUGUAGACUAAGAGGCCAAUUGGGAUUGUGGUUGUGAGGGCAAAAAAGUGUUUUUGAAACCGCACCAUUUUAUAUAUUGUUGAAAAAAGCAAUUUGAAAGAAGUUACUUAGUUGUUUUUGAGUUCUUAUAA
This 270-nucleotide unclassified non-coding RNA is filed under the name Hevea brasiliensis (rubber tree). The record is from RNAcentral. Lineage: Eukaryota; Viridiplantae; Streptophyta; Magnoliopsida; Malpighiales; Euphorbiaceae.